Molecule: ribosomal RNA, 332 nt
Filed under: Coronella austriaca
Lineage: Eukaryota; Metazoa; Chordata; Lepidosauria; Squamata; Colubridae
Description: partial large subunit ribosomal RNA
Rfam family: Bacterial large subunit ribosomal RNA
Source: RNAcentral
CCUAGUAAAAAAGCUAGAAUUACAACAUAAGACCAGAAGACCCUGUGAAGCUUAAAUAAAACUAUUAAACCAUAUAAUAGCUACUUUCGGUUGGGGCGACCUUGGAAAAAAAAAGAACUUCCAAAUAAAAUGAAUAUACCUCAUUAUCUAAACAGGCCAACAAGCCAAAAAUGACCCAGCACAGCUGAUAAUUGAACCAAGUUACUCCAGGGAUAACAGCGCAAUCUUCUUCAAGAGCCCAUAUCAAAAAGAAGGUUUACGACCUCGAUGUUGGAUCAGGACAUCCUAAUGGUGCAGCCGCUAUUAAGGGUUCGUUUGUUCAACGAUUAAUA